CCUACGGGCGGCAGCAGUGGGGAAUAUUGGGCCAUGGAGGCAACUCUGACCCAGCAACGCCGCGUGAAUGAUGAAGGUCUUCGGAUUGUAAAGUUCUUUUCUAAGGGAAGAAGAAAGUGACGGUACCUUAGGAAUAAGCCUCGGCUAACUACGUGCCAGCAGCCGCGGUAAUACGUAGGAGGCAAGCGUUAUCCGGAAUGACUGGGCGUAAAGGGUGCGUAGGUGGUUUGACAAGUUAGUAGCGCAACUCCGGAGCUCAACUUCGGAACUACUACUAAAACUGUUAGACUAGAGUGCAGGAGGGGUAAGUGGAAUUCCUAGUGUAGCGGUGGAAUGCGUAGAUAUUAGGAGGAACAUCAGGGGCGAAGGCGACUUACUGGACUGUAACUGACACUGAGGCACGAAAGCGUGGGGAGCAAACAGGAUUAGAUACCCUAGUAGUC
Molecule: ribosomal RNA, 443 nt
Filed under: uncultured bacterium
Lineage: Bacteria
Description: partial 16S ribosomal RNA
Rfam family: Bacterial small subunit ribosomal RNA
Source: RNAcentral